CUAUCAAUGAUCAUCGUGGGUGUGUGCGGCCCAUUGAUUAUGAUGUUCCAUAAAUCACAGUUAAGUGCUUGGACGAAUAUGUGCAUGCGUGCUUUCCAAUAUGUGUAAUUGGUGCCAUUAAAGAGUGGUGGUCUAUUUGUGGAUUGUCCUUCUGUCACGGCUCCGCGAAUCGGGGCUGGACCGGACGCGGAUCAAGGUAUAAACCAGAUCAGGUCGCUGGACGGGUUCGAGGUCUGACCGUGCUCUUUGGAGAUUUGGGCAAUUUGGAGACCAAAUCUGGGCCCUAGGACCACCUAGGGAAAUGUGUGCAAGAUCUAGGAGGAAUACCCAAGAGCAUGGGGCCGUAGGCAUGUGCUCCAAGGCGUGUAUUGUUGAGAAUACAUGUUGGUUCAUCAUCAGGAGGAAAGCAGCUGCAACGAGACUGAUUCAACGUUGUAGGCUUAUCUCGAAGCAUGUACUGAAUCCGAGAAAUUGGGAUGCAUGGAAAUGCGUGCCACUAAUGGAGAAACGUGGCAUAAGUCUCGAGAAGGCAAGGGACACAUUUUAACACGUUUUCAUAACUGAAAGAUGUACGGUUAGAAAACGUGG
This 588-nucleotide long non-coding RNA is filed under the name Phoenix dactylifera (date palm). RNAcentral's name for it is "long non-coding RNA (PDAC_LNC009288)". Lineage: Eukaryota; Viridiplantae; Streptophyta; Magnoliopsida; Arecales; Arecaceae. The record is from RNAcentral.